Fundulus heteroclitus (mummichog) is the source of this 1862-nucleotide long non-coding RNA. RefSeq lists it as uncharacterized. Lineage: Eukaryota; Metazoa; Chordata; Actinopteri; Cyprinodontiformes; Fundulidae. The transcript is spliced from 3 exons. The record is from RefSeq and is a predicted model, not a curated record.
AAGUGCCUUGAGAUGACAUGUUUCAUGAUUUGGCGCUAUAUAAAUAAAAUUUAAUUGAAUUGAAUUCAAUAAUCAUAAAGCUAGUACUUUCAGUAAUGAUCAACAUGAAUGCUUCAUAGAGUUUUAACACACAAGAUCAAAGGUUUAUCAUUUAUCUACAAUUUAGGUAUCAACUAAUUGAGUCAGGCCUGUUUUAUGUUCCUAUGCACACAUUAGGAAACUAAACCUGUUCAGUAACCAAAGUCAAGUCUGUCUACAGUACCCCAACCUGGAAAACCUCCUACUUUGCCCUCAAUUCUCCAUUCCAUUGACAAACAUCCACACCUUACAAAUCCAGGAGUACCAGUAGGGGGCAUGACAGGGCCGGCAAGGCUUUUUAUCAAGCUCCCAUUCAUGUGUCAUUUAUUAAAACCGCCCUCCAAGCAGUUUCACAUCCAAGAUAUUCUGGUGCACAAUUAUUUAGCUCUCAGCUUAAAAUUCUGCAAUUUCAUUAUUAAUUAAAGGGGUAAUUUUUAAGUUCAAAUUUAUUUGCAGUAGUUUUCCAGUAAUUCUUAACAGAAUGCCACCAAUGUGUGUCUUAACUUUCCUAAUCUCAGUUGGUCUAGGGUGAAACUAGAAAGUGAACUGCUUUACAAUUAUUCAUCAGCAGACAGAAUGAUUUUCUCUUUUAGUUUCUGUCAAGAUGUUUUUUGAGGAUGAACCCGGACAUAGCUCGCACACACAGGGUUGGAUAUUGAGAGAGUUUAUUUUACAGUUAGGUGUGGAAUGACAUGAAAAAAACAAAGUCUUUUUCCAGGCAGAGUUGUUGGGUGCAGAAGCUGGCUGACAGGAGUAGAGCGGAGAGAAACUGACCAGGACCUGAUGACUUCACAGAAGACCAAGACGAGACGCAGGAAACGAGAAGCAGAGCGUCGGAGCGGGUGGCUGGAGAUCUGCGCGGAUUGCCUGAGCCGAAGACUGGAGACGAAGGCAGAGCGUCGGAGCAGGAGACUGGAGAUCUGGGCAGAGUGCCUGAGCCGAAGACUGGGAGCCGAGGCAGCGCCGAUGACAGGAGCUGAGGCCGCGCCGAGGACUGGAGCCGAGGCAAAGCCAAUGACUGGAGCUGGGGCAGCGCCGAUGACUGGAGCCAAGACCGCGCCGAGGACUGGAGCCGAGGCAGAGCUGAUGACUGGAGCUGGGGCAGCGCCGAUGACUGGAGCCAAGACCGCACCGAGGACUGGAGCCGAGGCUGCGCCGAGGACUGGAGCCGAGGCAGAGCUGAUGACUGGAGCCGAGGCCGGAACGGAACUUCAGGCUGUGACUGAGCUGGAACAUAGCUGAAGCAGAGUUUCUGGCUAUGACUGAGCAAAAACAGAGCUGAAGUAAGGUCUCUGGCUGUGACUGAGCAAAAACAGAGCUGAAGUAAGGUCUCUGGCUGUGACUGAGCAAAAACAGCUGAAGUAAGGUCUCUGGCUGUGACUGAGCAAAAACAGAGCUGACACAGGAUUACUAGCUGAGACUGAGCAGGAGUUGAACACUACGGACCGGCAACGAAAACAGACUGAGCUGCCCCUCCUGUUUCUGCCUCUACUUAAGCAGCCCUGAGACCCAGAGCGAGUGCCAGAAUAUCUUGAGCCAUAGAGACCCGGACUGGACCCUGAUCUUGGAUUGCCCUACUGGACUGCCCACUGGAUUUCGACCUUCGGACCGUUUCCUGGAUUUGGAUUCUGCAAACCCUGAGUGGCGUCAGUCUGCUCUGUUGACCCUCCCCUCUUGGCUCAGUCGACUCUUCCCCCCAACUCGGAUUCUGUAAGGAGCUCCUAGCUAGACGCUGCCUGCAAUCAUCCCUGAGCCGUUUACCCGCACAAGUAAUAAAUCUGAUU